RNAcentral lists this ribosomal RNA (702 nucleotides) under Neogloboquadrina incompta. Its description in RNAcentral is "partial 18S ribosomal RNA". It matches the Rfam family "Eukaryotic small subunit ribosomal RNA", at positions 1323 to 1643 of the family's 1831-position model. Lineage: Eukaryota; Foraminifera; Rotaliida; Globorotaliidae. The record is from RNAcentral.
CUAAGGCCCCAAAGUUAGCAAAUUAUCAAUCGUUACAGAGUCGACCCCUCACCUUUGAGUGCGCGUCCUAACUUGUAGUACAUGGUGUAAAUGGAUUUGUUUUGGGUACCCAGAAAGCAACRAACGUGACCGCAACGUCUUGUUGUCUCUCUUUGACAGUUAUGGGUUAUCCCAGUCAUGUGUUUAUACUUUUAUGUGUAAAUACGUACGACACAGAGACUAGAUACCAAACUAGGCGUACCGCUGUAUCAUUUCUUUAAACCAGAGGAAGGUUGCGGCAAUAACAGGUCUGUGAUGCCCUUAGAUGUUCUGGGCUGCACACGUGCUACAAUGAUCAGCACAGUAAGCAUCUCAAUUUUUACAACACCGKCAACACACGUAGUGAGCUGCUUGAUCUCUCAUUCAUGCAUUCUGUGCUUCGGUGCAGUGUGCAAUGUGAGUUGUCUAAUGCGCGCGGUUAUGCCUGUACCGAGAGGUGACGUCGGGUAAACAUUCUCUAAUGCUGACCUAUUUUUCUGAAAUAUGCACAACUCUAAUAUGACAUUCAUUCCCGGGAGGACUAGUUGCCUCUUUGUGUGAGUGUAAUGCAAACAUGAAUAGCGACUGUCGCUGUUUACUCAUAUGUGCCCCUGUCAAUUCGUGGUGGGGACAGACCAUUGCUAAUUGUUGGUCUCGCUUAUAACUAGGAAUGCCUAGUACGGG